UGCAUCGGAACGCGUCCUGUAAUGGGGGAUAACCUGGCGAAAGUCAGGCUAAUACCGCAUACGUCCUGAGGGAGAAAGCGGGGGAUUGGCAACGACCUCGUGUUGAUAGGAGCGGCCGAUGUCGGAUUAGCUAGUUGGUGGGGUAAAGGCCUACCAAGGCGACGAUCCGUAGCGGGUCUGAGAGGACGGCCCGCCACACUGGGACUGAGACACGGCCCAG
RNAcentral lists this ribosomal RNA (220 nucleotides) under uncultured bacterium. Its description in RNAcentral is "partial 16S ribosomal RNA". It matches the Rfam family "Bacterial small subunit ribosomal RNA", at positions 114 to 334 of the family's 1533-position model. The record is from RNAcentral.